AUGCUCACUUCAGCAGCACAUAGAAUAAUGAUACAAAAAAGAUUAGCAUAGUCCCCGAAGGAGGAUGAUAUGCAGAUUCGUGAAGGAGUUUCUUUUUAC
RNAcentral lists this small nuclear RNA (99 nucleotides) under Dipodomys ordii (Ord's kangaroo rat). Lineage: Eukaryota; Metazoa; Chordata; Mammalia; Rodentia; Heteromyidae. The record is from RNAcentral.